Molecule: long non-coding RNA, 761 nt
Organism: Aedes aegypti (yellow fever mosquito)
Lineage: Eukaryota; Metazoa; Arthropoda; Insecta; Diptera; Culicidae
Exons: 2
Source: RefSeq, a predicted model, not a curated record
GAUCAAAGCCGAGUAUGUGUAAAAAUAAAAUAAUUUCUUGUAUUUCUGGUUAUGUAAAAUCAAUAGAUCUACCCUAACUGUUUACAAAAACAAAAAUAAAAAGUAAAGAAAAUUAAAGUACCGCUUGAACAUUUUUUUUACUCCAUUUAAUGAUGCUUUACGCGCGAUGUAUACUUUUAAUACUACUCACUAUGAGAAAGAAAGGUCGAGAUAAAUUGGGCUUUGCUUGUGUUUUGUUCUUUUCCUAUGAUUUUUGUUUUUUUUAUUCAAUAUUUUAGCUUUUCAAUGUGUUUGAAUAUUAUACCACUAUUUAUAUUGCUUCGAACAUUCGCUGCAUUUUACACAUGAACGUGAAAACUACUUGUUUGAUGCAUUGACAUGGAAGAAAUGAUGCAUAUAGAAUGGCAUGGAAAUUUAUUAUACAAAACCUAUACGUGUGUCGAAUCGAGUAUAAUGAACUGAAGACGAACAGUCGUGAUUCCUAGAGGAUGAUGAUCGGUUUACUGCUGUCGAGGGAAAUACUCAUUUGGCACAGGUCGUUUGACAUUACAUUAGUUUUAUUAUCAUAUCACGUCUAUUUUAAGUUAAUCAAAUUGACUGACACGAUAUAAUUUACUGUAGAAAUCAAAAACUGCUUUUACGCGUGUAGUAGGAUUUGAUAAAUAUUAAGUAAUGUGAUAAUGUUAUGAUGAAACAAUCUUUGCGAUUGUAUAAACGGUCGACUCUUCACAUCUCGAUAUCGAAGAGACCACCGAGCUAAA